GCCUUGAAAGCUUUAAGCACCCUAUUUUGUAAGUAGGAAAAAGUUAAAUUGAUUUAACUCAAGACU
Molecule: transfer RNA, 66 nt
Filed under: Ophiura sarsii
Lineage: Eukaryota; Metazoa; Echinodermata; Ophiuroidea; Amphilepidida; Ophiuridae
Description: tRNA-Thr
Source: RNAcentral